This 6069-nucleotide long non-coding RNA is filed under the name Octopus vulgaris (common octopus). The record is from RNAcentral. Lineage: Eukaryota; Metazoa; Mollusca; Cephalopoda; Octopoda; Octopodidae.
GAUGAUGCGAAUUCCAAGUGUGGUCGUACCAUAGCUGUAUACAGUUUUAAAUAGAUGGCUGGAGUGCGGCUAACAAAAGUCUUGCUGAGUGAUGCCAAGACACCCUCGGCCUUCACGACAAUUUUAGAGAUAUGCUUUGUCCAACGCAAAUCACUGCUGACAGUGAUGCCUAGGUCAUGAAAAACACACUCAGACUAAGUGAAAGUGGUGACCUAUAGAGUCAUCAAUUGACAUCUCAUCACCAUGACUGCUCUAUUUCCAUGAAAAAAUCCCUGCUACAUCUCAAUCCAUUUACUUAUAAAUAUAUCCCCCACAGAUACAUUUCACAACUUUAAUCAAUUGAUAGAAUUUUCCAUUCUCUUGUAAUUAUGGUUCCAUAUUCCUCCCUAGACUUUUAGACACCAACACUAAACUUUGCAAUGUGUCUGUCCUUCGAUGAUUUUCCAAAUACAAAGUCUUCAGGGAUCCCUUUUCUACUGUAGCGACUUAGAAUUGAAACCCUCAUUUUCUGCUGUCAGGUCAGUACCAUGUGCAGACCACACUCAUGUCAUGUGGUUUGUUUUGAUUAUCAACUAAUUGGUUUGCAGCAAUACCAUGCCAUAUCAUGAACAUCAUCUACAAUGUCUUCGAAGUGCCCCCACAAUUUUUAGUGUAUUAAGACGAAAGCCCAACUAAGAUCAACAGCAGAGGUUGAAAGAGCUACCGGAGAACACACAUCCUCAUCUCUCACCUAAUUCAAGCCAAUGAGAGAGAAUGGCUUACUAACAUAGCAGAAACAACAUCGAGUUUUUCUUUGCCUAAUUUCAGCCCAGAGUAUAAAGGACUUCUUAAAUAAUGACGAGCCAACUCUUUCCUAUCUCUCGAGCCUUACCAAUCAUUGCUGUGGAUAAUAAUUACACCGAAGUUUGAUCCUAACCUCCAACAUCUCUACCUGCCAGCAUUAGAAAUCUAUGUAAGUACAAUGAACUUUACAAUAAACAGAUUUUAUUAUGUUUGCCUUUGUCAUGCUUGGAUAAAGACGGACAAAAUGUCGCUAAGUAUUUUGUCCGACGUGCUAACGAUUCUGCCAAUACGUUGCCGAAGCAAUAGCAAAUAUUAACAAUAUUUCUAAGGUCUACCAGGUUUCAAACUGAGAAUUGAAUCAGUUACCAGAGAAGUUGAUUUUGACGUUUGUUACCUUUUGCCGAUGAAAAAGGCUACAACAACACAUUUCAUUCGCCGAUUAAGUUUCGUAUAAAAACAUUGUGAAUUGGUCACUUGGUACACAGAGAAUAAAUAAUUUACAAACCUUUACUGAUGAUAAUAUUUAGACGGUCUGACUUAUGUCAUCAUGUUCAAUUCUUGGCACAUGUGGCUGUUCAUCCCAUCCGUGACUUUGCCUGUUAUAAUUUAAGACAGUUCGGUCUGGGCACCGUGAAGUCUUGGAAGUCUUGAAGGAAAAGAGAAAGCAAAUAAAAAAAGUAAAUAAAAAUACAGAAAGAAAGAAAGAGAAGAGAGAAAAGGAAUAAAAAAGAAAUAAAUAGAAUAACAAAAUAGGGAAAGACUUCCGCCCCCACCCCCAUUUUCUCCCAAAUUUGUUUAUUUUUUAAAUAUUUUUUCUCAAAAAUCCCCGUUUUCGGACACACAGGCUCCGGAAAAUUUCCAAAAAUCGACAUUGUGAAAUACCCCCCCCCUUCCCCCAACUUCUUCAAUUUUGACUUUUUUCCUCCAACACUAACCCUAAAACCCUGACCCUAACCGUAAAAACCUAAAACCCUAACCCGUAACCGUAAGUACAGAAAUGUUUUGAAAUUUUUGUCCGAAUCAUAAUCUCCGUAUUUUUCCGCAUAUUUUAAAAAAAAAAAAAAAUUCUGAAAAAAAUUUUCAAUGAAGGAAAUGGAGGUGGGGGAUUUAGAAAUGCCGAUUUUUAACCAAUUAUUUUUGCAGAUUCGUAUUCCCCGUAACCGAAAAGAUGGGGUUUCUGUCGAAAAACAAAACAAAAAAAUUUUUUAAGAGUGUUAUUUUGGUGGGUGGACGGGUGGAAGUCUUGCCCCAAAUCUCCACUACGACACAUUCACUCGUCAAUCACUCAUAAAAUCUUAAUUCAGUUCUACAAGAAGUAACACUAGAGACUACCCGACAUUUACAGACUGAGGGUACAGCCUCCACUUUUUAUAAAAUUCCUUUUGCUUCCAUUGUAUGAUCUGUUUUCUUUUUUUUCAAAUAGAUAUCUGUCGUGUACAAAGUAUUUAAAAUGUUUGAAGCUGAGCGUGGUUUUUGACAAUCAGCGGCAAUCUUUCGUCUCUAGUAGACUUUUCCGUCGAUUUCCGUAAAAAAAAAUUUUUUUUUUUACAUAUGGGCUUGCGGGAACUUUUGAAGUAACAUACAUACAUAAACACAUACACCGAGUAAAAAAUUUCAGUUAUCUCUCUCUUUCACACAUUACUCUCUCUGUCUCUUCACACACACUAACAGAAGCACUUCACUUACACAACAUACUUUCUGUCUCCCACACCCCAUCAAACACACACACAUGUACAUCAAUGCUUGCCAUGCACGGUAACUUCAAAAGAACUUCCCUCGUCAUAAAAUCGCUUUCUCUUAGUCUCUUUCGCUCUCAUUACUUCAAAAGUUCCCGCAAGCCCAUAUGUAAAAAAAUAAAAGUUUUUUACGGAAAUCGACGGAAAGGUCUACUAGAGACGAAAGAUUGCCCAAUCUCAGCUUUUAUAUAUAAAAAAAUUUUGCUAAUAAUAUUAGCAAGUCAAAGGUGCCAUCAGAAAAUGUGUUUCUUCUCAACCUGAACAGAAUAAUCUGUGGGUCAAGUUUUAUGUUGCGAACAUGUGUGCACUUUUCAUACAGCAAAUUUAUGAAGCAUUGCCAGAAGGCCUGUACUCAUUCACAAUACCAGAAAAGGUGUCAUACCGUCUCCACCUGGCCUUGACCAAAAGUGCACAGGUUGCUUUCGGCCAAUUUAAUCUUGAAUAGUGGAGAAUUCGUUGCCAGAAUAUUGUGCAUAAUUCUGAAUUGGAACCAUCGCAGUUUAGUAUCUGUUGUCUUUAUAGGAAGCAGACACUCGUCCCAUUUGUGUUUGAAUAUUAAACAAGCAUCAACAUUGUUUAAAACAUAGUAGUAUCGUCUGGGGGUACUAUGUGAGAACAGUGGUCCCGGUGCGCGCACUCGCGUAGUCGCGCUAGCUAGUCGUAACUAGUCGAUCCUACAACGACUACCUAGCAAAGUAAAUAAAACACAAAAUAAAUAAUUCUUUUACACAAAGUAAAUAACACAAAAACACAAACUAAGGAUCGACCAGUCAUGACUAGUUAGCGCGGAUGCGCGAGUACGCGCACCGGGACCACUGUUCUCAAGUAGUACCACAACAUUGUCUAAAACAUAGUAAUAUCGUUCGACUCCUUUCUUAACAGACAUGAGCCUUUCGGAUAGUUGUAUUAACCUCUAAAUGUUGGAGAACAGUAGAUUUGCUUAUUUUAAACUUUGUUUCGUAGCUUUUAAAUGGCCCUAUUAAAUCCAUUAUACUGGAGAAAAUUUGUAUCUGGUUCUAAAAAAUUCUGGAAUUCUUCCAGGGUGCGGCAAGAUCCAUCUAAAUUGAUAAAGUCACGAAUCUGGCUAACACUUCUCUCAAACCACGCAGGAAAAACCAUUGCCUCUUCACUGACACUUAAGUGUUUAAUAAAGUAAAUUGGUUCUGUUAUGAAUUCCUCAAAUGAAUUAGGCUCUGUGUUAUUUGUAAACUUGUCAAAGGCAGAAAUACAAUCUUACCAAAAAUCAUUCCUGAUAGAGUUAGCGAGUUUGCUCGGAGAAACGUUACCAAAUACAGCUAAAUUUUUCAGUUUUGUGGAGGAGGCAUUGCAUAAUUGUUUCCAUUCGGAUUCAUAGUGAAUGUCCAGCAACUUUCUCGUCCAGAAUAGCUUUAAAGAGCUGACGUAAGCGAAAACUUCGAUCAUACCAAGUCCACCAUCUUCAACAGGCUUACAAGCAACAACUCUCUUAAGCUUAUCAGGUUUUCCACUCCAGAGAAAUUGAAAUAAUAUUUUGUUUAGUUUCUGUAGAAAUUUACUCGGUGGAUUUGGGAGAGUUAGGAAGAGAGUUCAAUUUUGAGAUGAGUAGUGGUUUUAUAACCGCAAUUCUACUCGGUGGUGUAAUUAUUCUUUUCAUCCAUCUAUUUAUUAUUACCUGAAUUUCAAAUAAUUUAUUUUCAAAAUUCUUUUUGGCCACAUCCUUUAAAACUAUUGAGAAUAUUAAACCGAGAAGCUUGAAGUGCUUUGGGUUCCAUUUUAUAUUUAAACUAGCAGUAUCGCCCGGCGUUGCUCGGGUUUGUAAGGGAAAUUACUAUAUAAGCAUUUUUAGAGAGUUAUAGCCAAAAAAUGCAUUAAAAAUGGGAAAAAAAAUGAUGAUAAAUGUUGUUUUUAAAUCGUUGACUCAUCGUAGACAUUUUUAGAGAGUUACUUCCCUUAUAUAAUAGCGGAAAAUGCAUUAAAAAGGAAAAAAAUGAUGGUAAAUUUUUUUUAAAUCGUAGACUCAUCGUAGACGCGCGCUAAUACCCAGAAGGGCUCGAUAUGAAUCACGACUAUAAGAUACCCGGUUUUGGUUAAACUGCACCGCAAAAUGUGGGAGUAGUUAGGAAUCAUAAUCGUAGGAGACAGACACACAACCUUACUUUUAUAUAUAAAGAUUAGUUAAGUAUCUGACUGAACUACCCCUUCUUGAACCUAUCCAUAUCACCUGAGACUUAUCAUAGUUAAUUUUAAGUCCGGAUAUAUCAGCGAAAAAAUCAAGGUGUCAACUGUAGCUUCAAAAAACUCUCGCGAACUGUCUAAAAUGAACUCUGUAUCGUCUGUAUAUUGCGCCAACAGAUACUCCCCAUCACAAACUGUAAUUCCUUUAAUAUCUCGAUUUUUUCUUAUAAGACCAGCCAGGACCCCAACGCAGAGAAUAAAAAGAUAUGGAGAGAGAGAAGACCACCCUGUCUACAGCGCAACUCAACAGGGAACCAAAGAGACAAAGUACCGUUAAUUGUCAAGCAAGAUCUAUCACCACUGGACAGAAUAUUGAACCACUUACGGAUGUCAUAACCAAAAGAAGAAAAAAAGAUAAUGUCUUGUUUAUAAAUGGCCAUGAGACAGAAUCAAAGGCCUUCUGAAAAUCUAUUAAAAACAACAUUCCUGCUAUGUCAUUUGAUUCUGUGUCGUUCAUAUCAGAUCAUCGAGCAAUCUUACGUUGUCCCCCAACAUCCAUGAUUUUUCAAUAGAGAUUAUUAUUUUGUGACCCAUCACUGACAUAAUUUUAAGUUAGCGAAUGAGUAGCAAUGGUGAAAAUUGUACUUAAUUUUUUUUUUCUCCAUUUCUUGGUACUACUAGCGAACAGUGGUCCCGGGGCGCGCAUCCGCGCCUAUGUUUGUAUUUCAAGGCUGAAUUACAUAGCAAAAGAAAUUAAAGAAUAUUUUUCGAACAAAGUAAAUAAAACGCAAAGUAAAUAAUUUUUUAAACUGAGUAAACAAAUUAUUUUUAUAAACAAACUAAGGUUAGGUUUAGGUUUAGGGUUAAGGUUAAAAAGUCGUUGUAGGAUCGACUACUUAAGACUAGUUAGCGCGAGUGCGCGCACCGGGACCACUGUUCUCUUGUAGUACCCAUUUCUUUUUUGAAUUCCAGAUCUUAAAAUACGGGGAUUACAAUUGUGACAAAAAGAAAGAAAUCUUUUCAGAAUUUCAAUUGUUUUGAAGCCGGUUCCGUUCUCUCUUCAGAGUUUGGAACCUCCCCCCCCCCCCUCAACCCGUCCAACACCGACCAACUCGGUCUGUUCGUUUGCGCAUGCGUCAAAGCCAGCAGACGACACAAAGACACUCUUAAUAUAAGCUACUCGACAUACUAGAAAUAAAAGCCAAAUCUCCCACAAACAAUAUAUGUCAAACGUCUUAUAAAAUGAAAGACACUCUGAACUUAGUCCAGGAUAUACAAAAAUACGGAGAUUACGAUUCUGGAAAAAUAAAAAAAGAAACAUUUUUUUCAAAAUUUCAAAUUUUUAAAUCGUCCCAUUCCCCGACUUUCGGAAUAACAGCCCCGACCCGAAAGAAAU